UUCGAGAACUGCUUGGGACUGACAACAUUCAGCUUUGCUAGCAAAACAACUACCUCAUCGUGAAACAUAUCUUCAGGCGUUGGCUACAUACACGAUAAAGAUGAUGAAUUUCAUAAAUCAAAAGAAAAAUGACAUAGAGAUUCUUCGAAGAUUUUCACUGAUGCCCAAAUAUCUUCGGCCAAAAGUUGGGGUUCCUCCAUCGCUGCAAAAUGUCCACCUUUAGGGAAUUUUGUUGUACGAAGUAAUUUUUUGAAGCGCUCUUUGAGCAAACAUUCCGGCUGAUACGCAAUUUCAUAACGAAAUUGAGCACACGCACUUGGUACAUUUAUCGGCGCACUCGUAAAUUCUCACGGCCGUUGUCAUUGUAUUUGGAAUCCAGUAGUACAUCAAAUUGUCAAUGAGUUCAUCAGGAGUAUGUUUUUCAAAAAGACCACCAUCGUCUCUCAUUCUGUAAUUGGGAUUUGUGCCUGUUGAGAAUUUUUCAAGAAUAUAGGCAGCCAAGCCUAUUGGUGAAUCACUGCCCCCACCAAGUAUUUGGAAGUUUUUCAAAAUCAGUCUUACCUGAUCUCAGAUACAAAGAAACAGUAUAGACUAUAAAUAAUCCGAGAAUUCCAGUUUUUAUUAAUCCCAUUUUUGUUUGUUUUUUAAC
This is a long non-coding RNA of Leptopilina heterotoma, 649 nucleotides long. RefSeq lists it as uncharacterized. NCBI's taxonomy places the organism in Eukaryota, Metazoa, Arthropoda, Insecta, Hymenoptera, Figitidae. The record is from RefSeq and is a predicted model, not a curated record. The transcript has 4 exons.